RNAcentral lists this ribosomal RNA (274 nucleotides) under uncultured bacterium. RNAcentral's name for it is "partial 16S ribosomal RNA". It matches the Rfam family "Bacterial small subunit ribosomal RNA", at positions 523 to 796 of the family's 1533-position model. The record is from RNAcentral.
CUACGGAGGGUGCGAGCGUUACUCGGAGUCACUGGGCGUAAAGCGUCCGUAGGCGGUCGGGUAAGUCGGGUGUGAAAGCCCCGGGCUCAACCUGGGAAGUGCACCCGAUACUGCUCGACUCGAGUGCGGGAGAGGAUGGCGGAAUUCCCGGUGUAGCGGUGAAAUGCGUAGAGAUCGGGAGGAACACCAGUGGCGAAGGCGGCCAUCUGGCCCGCAACUGACGCUGAGGGACGAAAGCGUGGGGAGCGAACAGGAUUAGAUACCCUAGUAGUCC